Molecule: RNA transcript, 2869 nt
Organism: Magnolia sinica
Lineage: Eukaryota; Viridiplantae; Streptophyta; Magnoliopsida; Magnoliales; Magnoliaceae
Exons: 4
Source: RefSeq, a predicted model, not a curated record
AAUAGGCGAACAUUUUACUCUCAUGUAAUAGUCUCAGCUAUAAAAUGGAAGCACAAUCAAGAAAUGUCAUGAUAUUUGGCUUGUUCCUUUUAUAAUCCUGAACUAAUUUGGUACUCUAUGGUUCAACAUAUUGCCAGUCUGCAUGUUUUUUCUAGUUACUCUGUAUGAUGUUUGGCUUCUUUUUUUUUUGGUACUCUGUAGUUCAUCGAUAUUUAUAGUCUGCAUGAAUUUUGCACUAUAUAUUUGAAUAUAUUUAUAGUCUUAGGCUCCAUUUGGUCAUCACAUUGGUAUUUAUGAAUGUAAAUUUAUCUCAAACCAAAUGAAGCUUAAGCCCUUUUUUAAUUCUGCCAAUGCAACUCCUUGCAUUGCCGGUCCUAAGCCCGGGUGAAGGAGGAGGGAGAAGGGCUUCAAGGUGAGUUUUAUCAUUUUUUUUUCCAUUUUUUGAAGCUGUUAUAAUUUUUGAGUUUAUUUUUGCUUGCAGGUUGGCAGAUUUGCUCGCAUAUGUUGGCGUAUGGCCUUACAAUUCUCAGAGGUACAUUCGGGCUAGCAGAUUUGCUCACGUAUGGUGAGUCGUGUCCUUUUCUUCCAUUUUCUCAAACUGUUAUAGCUUUUGAGUUUACUACAAGUAGAUAGUUUUUAAUUGGUGAUAAUGACUUUCCCUUGAGAUCAAGCAAGAGCUGGGAGGAAGCGUUUUUUCGAGCCUAGAGGGAGACCACAUCACAUUGGUUAAUGUAUAUCAAGCAUGUGUAGAGUGCUUGGAGACUAGCAAGAUGGCUAACAGUAAAAAGAAAACAAUUGGGAAAUGUAUAUCACCGAUGUGCCAAACACAUCGGUGAUAGCUGGUGUAUAUCACCGAUGUACGACACACCAGCUAUAUAGCUGGCCAUAGUGUGUGGUACACCAGCCAAGCCGCUUCCGUAUUCUACUAUACAGGACAUCGAACAAGUGUAAAAGGAUUCCUUGGUGUGUGGGUGGGGUGUUGAGUCCCCAAGUUUUGUUGGGCCCACCGUGAUGUAUGUGAUAUAUCCACACUGUCCAUCCAUUUUUCCAAACAUUUUAAGGCAUGGGUGCAAAAAUGAGGCAAAUCCAAAGUUCAAGUGGACUGCACCAUAGAAAGCAAUGGGACAAUAUACUCAUUGUUGAAAUCUUCUUAAAGCCAACUAUGAUGUUUAUUUGCCAUUCAACCUGUUUAUAAGCUUCUAAUGGCAGGUUUACUGUAGAUUAAGCCCAGUUUCGUUGCAUGAAAGGUUAUGGACUCACAUGAAAGGUUAUUUACUGGUUAGCUUUGUAUCCCUGCUAGGUCUGAAAAUGAAAAUAUGCCAUUUCCUCGAAAAAUCUGACAGAUUGCAGCGGGGGUGGUGGUUUGGAUCAGUCAAACGUAACUUGUUGCAGUAGACAUAAGGUGUUUGCUUUUGCUGGCUGGACACUUGCCAAGGUGUUCUACAACAGUCAGAUUCAAUAUUGCAGUAGACAUGGUGUUUUAAUUAUGUGACACAGACUUCAGAUAAUCUUCCCGGCUAUUGUUUGCCUUCUGCUCCGACUGAAAGUAUUGGCUAUGUGCUGCAGGUACGAUCUGCUACACUUGACACAUGGCUUCCAGAACAAGUUGCAUUUAUUCAAACAUUGGGAAAUGAGAAGUCAAAUAGCUAUUGGGAAGCAGAACUGCCUCCAAAUUAUGACAGAAAUCUUUUGGUGGGCUCUAGUUGAUGAAUAGCCUGGAUCCAUCACACGUGCUGCGAAUCACCUUAGCACCCAUCUUCUACGUAACAUCUGUUUGUUUGUGGUCUAAACACCUUGGUCUUAUUGGAUGUCUUUCACUUAGCAAUACGAGAUUUCUUGUGCAUCAAAUAAAGCUUUGUGUUUUCCUGAAUUGUUCAUGGUAAAAUGGGAUUUCACUAACUUGUUAGGAUGCCUGACUUGAGCUGACAAAACAGGUUUCUUCUAAUUCAAAAGUAGAGCCGGUCCCAAUGCAGGCUGAUUCAACACAGAAAGUGCAACCUACACCCAAUAUCCCACCUCCAAAGGGUGAUUAUGCCACUGAUCUUUUCAAUAUGCUUUCUAUGGAUGGCCCAAGUCAAAAUGGGUGAUAUUUUUGGGAUCCAUGACAAGCUUGAAAGUUAUUCAUGUCCACUGUAAAGCAAAUGAGUCAAUGUCUUGCUUGUAAAUAUGUAGUUUUCACUUUCGGGUUGUUCAAAUCAUUGACCGGUAUGAGACAGUGCAUUCCAGAGAGCUCAAGAGGCAAUAAGCUUGCAUUUAUACAGGACCCAAAAAUGGACAAAACCUACACCAGGAUAGUAACAGACAUGUUUCCGAUGGGGCAAAACCCAAAGGCAGGGGAGCUCCGAAGAAGGCUCCUACUAGAAAGUAGAAAAUGCCGACUAUCGUUGAUAGUGAAGAAGAAGAUGAUGAGGUGCUCGAGCUAAAAGAAUGAAUGAUGAGGUGCUCGAGCUGAAAGAAUGAAUGAUUGUGUUGAGAUUAGGGCUGAAGUUAGAAAUGAAUGAUUGUGUUUGAUUGAAUGAAUGAAUGAUUGUGUUUGAUUGAAUGAAUAAAUAAUUGUGUUUAAUUGAAUGAAUGAAUGAUUUAACCAUGAAGUAUUUAUCUAUAUCAGCUUAUAUGAGUUAUCAGGGUGUACUACAAUGGUAAGACCUGUCAUUACUAAUUAAAUUUUUUAUUAACAAUAGGCAUUAGCUACAGCUAUUAACCGUAGCCCUUUGUUGAAAACCGUAGCUCUUGCUAAUUUUAGCCUUUUGCUACGGUUCGCAUUCUACUUUUCGCUACAGAUACAAUCCGUAGCUGUAUAUAAAUUUAAAACCACAGACAAUAUCGCUACAAAUUUAAUCCAUACAUAUAGUUUUAAUAGCUACGGCUA